CCUACGGGUGGCAGCAGUGGGGAAUAUUGCACAAUGGGGGAAACCCUGAUGCAGCGACGCCGCGUGAAGGAAGAAGUAUUUCGGUAUGUAAACUUCUAUCAGCAGGGAAGAAAAUGACGGUACCUGACUAAGAAGCCCCGGCUAACUACGUGCCAGCAGCCGCGGUAAUACGUAGGGGGCAAGCGUUAUCCGGAUUUACUGGGUGUAAAGGGAGCGUAGGCGGCGAUGCAAGUCAGAGGUGAAAGCCCGGGGCUCAACUCCGGGACUGCUUUUGAAACUGUGUUGCUAGAUUGCAGGAGAGGUAAGUGGAUUUCCUGGUGUAGCGGUGAAAUGCGUAGAUAUUAGGAGGAACACCAGUGGCGAGGGCGGCUUACUGGACUGUAACUGACGCUGAGGCUCGAAGGCGUGGGGCGCAAACGGACUUGACUACCCCGUAGUC
Molecule: ribosomal RNA, 439 nt
Filed under: uncultured bacterium
Lineage: Bacteria
Description: partial 16S ribosomal RNA
Rfam family: Bacterial small subunit ribosomal RNA
Source: RNAcentral